Molecule: ribosomal RNA, 497 nt
Filed under: uncultured bacterium
Lineage: Bacteria
Description: partial 16S ribosomal RNA
Rfam family: Bacterial small subunit ribosomal RNA
Source: RNAcentral
GAUGAACGCUGGCGGCGUGCCUAAUACAUGCAAGUCGAGCGAACGGACGAGAAGCUUGCUUCUCUGAUGUUAGCGGCGGACGGGUGAGUAACACGUGGAUAACCUACCUAUAAGACUGGGAUAACUUCGGGAAACCGGAGAUAAUACCGGAUAAUAUUUUGAACCGCAUGGUUCAAAAGUGAAAGACGGUCUUGCUGUCACUUAUAGAUGGAUCCGCGCUGCAUUAGCUAGUUGGUAAGGUAACGGCUUACCAAGGCAACGAUGCAUAGCCGACCUGAGAGGGUGAUCGGCCACACUGGAACUGAGACACGGUCCAGACUCCUACGGGAGGCAGCAGUAGGGAAUCUUCCGCAAUGGGCGAAAGCCUGACGGAGCAACGCCGCGUGAGUGAUGAAGGUCUUCGGAUCGUAAACCUCUGUUAUUAGGGAAGAACAUAUGUGUAAGUAACUGUGCACAUCUUGACGGUACCUAAUCAGAAAGCCACGGCUAACUACGUG